This 351-nucleotide long non-coding RNA is filed under the name Anas platyrhynchos platyrhynchos (common mallard). RNAcentral's name for it is "lncRNA (ENSAPLG00000017395.1)". The record is from RNAcentral. Lineage: Eukaryota; Metazoa; Chordata; Aves; Anseriformes; Anatidae.
GAUGAGAUGGCUCCAGGAAACAGCAUCACAAAGUUAGCAGCAUGAAGUGGAUGAUGAGAUGGUGUCAUUCCCAGAAAGACUUCUGCUGUUGGUAUCUCGUGAAGCAUCUUGACAGUGUGAUGGCAUCCCACAGCUCCUUGUGCUUCUUCAGGUUGCUCCUGUUACUGAUCUUGCUUUGGGUUUUGCUGAGGAACAUGCUGAGGCUUUAUUUGCUAUGUCCCAGCCGCCACAGCUCUGUUUUGGACUGUGCUGAUUCUUCCAUUUAUUUCCCAGUGUGGUAAGUUUUUGCUUUCUCAGACUGCCCUGUGACAAUUUACUUCCAAUACUAAUAAAAAUCUACUUAAUUUAUCA